This 304-nucleotide ribosomal RNA is filed under the name uncultured bacterium. Its description in RNAcentral is "partial 16S ribosomal RNA". It matches the Rfam family "Bacterial small subunit ribosomal RNA", at positions 506 to 807 of the family's 1533-position model. The record is from RNAcentral.
CAGCAGCAGCCACGGGAAGACAGAGGAUGCAAGCGUUAUCCGGAAUGAUUGGGCGUAAAGUGUCUGUAGGUGGCUUUUCAAGUCCGCCGUCAAAUCCCAGGGCUCAACCCUGGACAGGUGGUGGAAACUACCAAGCUGGAGUAUGGUAGGGGCAGAGGGAAUUUCCGGUGGAGCGGUGAAAUGCAUUGAGAUCGGAAAGAACACCAACGGCGAAAGCACUCUGCUGGGCCGACAUUGACACUGAGAGACGAAAGGUAGGGGAGCAAAUGGGAUUAGAUACCCCAGUAGUCCCUGUCUCUUAUAC